UGGGGAAUAUUGGACAAUGGGCGAAAGCCUGAUCCAGCAAUGCCGCGUGAGUGAUGAAGGCCCUAGGGUUGUAAAGCUCUUUUACCCGGGAUGAUAAUGACAGUACCGGGAGAAUAAGCCCCGGCUAACUCCGUGCCAGCAGCCGCGGUAAUACGGAGGGGGCUAGCGUUGUUCGGAAUUACUGGGCGUAAAGCGCACGUAGGCGGCUUUGCAAGUCAGAGGUGAAAGCCCGGGGCUCAACCCCGGAAUUGCCUUUGAGACUGCAUCGCUAGAAUUGUGGAGAGGUAAGUGGAAUUCCGAGUGUAGAGGUGAAAUUCGUAGAUAUUCGGAAGAACACCAGUGGCGAAGGCGACUUACUGGACACAUAUUGACGCUGAGGUGCGAAAGCGUGGGGAGCAAACAGG
Molecule: ribosomal RNA, 404 nt
Filed under: Bacillota bacterium
Lineage: Bacteria; Bacillati; Bacillota
Description: Firmicutes bacterium partial 16S ribosomal RNA
Rfam family: Bacterial small subunit ribosomal RNA
Source: RNAcentral